AGGAGACAGGCCCCCCUGCCCUGCUGGAGCCAGACCGUUGAUGGAGGGCCCCGAUGGGUGAGGUCUGUAGCGCCAUGGAAACAGACUAAAGAGCGGCGGCAAGAAAGGAGUUGGUCUCCACAAACCGCCCAAAGUCAAGCUCACUGAGCACGGCGGAGAUAUUAAGCCCUGUUUUCGGCAGACACAAGACUUCCCUGAUGGCCUGCAGGGGUUCAAGGACUCCUCCAUUGCCUUACCAAGCCUUCCUUAGGCUGCAUGGCCAUCUAGAACACUUCCAUCCAAACUACCUUCCCUCUCUCUUUCACUUAGGGUCAGACUUGCAUCAUCGUGUGACAGUUCACCCAGUCUUCCUGGCUCCUUCCCCAUUUUCUCUCACGGAUAUUUCCCCUAAUAAAAAUCUUAUACAUG
Long non-coding RNA from Ailuropoda melanoleuca (giant panda), 408 nucleotides. RefSeq lists it as uncharacterized. Lineage: Eukaryota; Metazoa; Chordata; Mammalia; Carnivora; Ursidae. The transcript is spliced from 2 exons. The record is from RefSeq and is a predicted model, not a curated record.